This 393-nucleotide long non-coding RNA is filed under the name Linum usitatissimum (flax). RNAcentral describes it as "long non-coding RNA (LUSI_LNC001411)". The record is from RNAcentral. Lineage: Eukaryota; Viridiplantae; Streptophyta; Magnoliopsida; Malpighiales; Linaceae.
GUAAAGAGAUAGAUCUUUUCCCGCUGCCUACUCAAACUGUUGAUGAGAUAUCUACUUCUGCUAUGAGGCAAUUCAAGUUGGGUCAAGUUGGUGACUUACAACGUCCUGACCUUCCAUCAAAUCUGGGAAUGCUUGGAGAGGAUCUAUCGACACGAGAAGCUGAGACAAGGAUACUAACUUGGCGUGUUAAUGGUCCAACUAACCCACUGGAAGAUUUAUCCAACGAAAGAGAGCUAAAUCUUUCUCUUCACAUUCACCCAGCUGCACAUAAAUCGGAAAGGCCAUUUAACCGUGUGAAGGACAAGCAAGGUGGAACAGGUAAAGACCAGGUUAUGAGUGAAAAUGGACAGGAACAUUAUCUUGGAAGACUUUCUUCGACUCAUAGAUCUCCAA